Molecule: ribosomal RNA, 253 nt
Filed under: uncultured bacterium
Lineage: Bacteria
Description: partial 16S ribosomal RNA
Rfam family: Bacterial small subunit ribosomal RNA
Source: RNAcentral
UACGGGGGGGGCAAGCGUUGUUCGGAAUUACUGGGCGUAAAGGGCUCGUAGGCGGCCAACUAAGUCAGACGUGAAAUCCCUCGGCUUAACCGGGGAACUGCGUCUGAUACUGGAUGGCUUGAGUUUGGGAGAGGGAUGCGGAAUUCCAGGUGUAGCGGUGAAAUGCGUAGAGAUCAGGAGGAACACCCGUGGCGAAAGCGGCCCCCUGGAUCGGCCCUGACGCUGAGGCGCGAAAGCGUGGGGAUCAAACAGG